UUUGCUUUGUUAAGCUUAUUUCGUACUUUUGUUUGACUAAAACUUGGUUGAAAGUACAAAGAAAACAUAGAAAGGCAAGUAAUUUUUUUUUCUUUUUACUUCACUGAAAGCAAGGUCCAAAGUUGCCAAUCGUCUUAGAUGGGGAACCAAUCAUUGAUCAUUAAGGACCUAAAAAUUAACAUAAAUUUGGAAGAAGUGAUGUAUCUAUGAAACAAGAUAAUUUUAAACUCAAUUUAAACUCUAGUUUUUUCUUAGUGAAAAUGAAUAUUCUGUACUGGCCACCGCCGUUUUGAAGUUAGUUGAAACAGAACAGGCUAAAAUUUUUGAGUAAGCUGAAUUCAUAAUGAAGUUAAUCUUUAGUUAUUAAAUUUUCACAUAUUUCAAACCUUUGCAACAAACAUUGGAACCUUGUUUAAGUUCCAGUUUGUGAUGCAUCUAGAAGAUUGGCAAGGACAUUUUGUACACUCAGGAUUCAUUAGGCAUCAGGAUGACACAGUGGUAAAGGGGUAAUCUGUAUUCGGGUAGUAGACCAUCUUCAAAUCUAGACUUACUUCCUAGGCAUCUGAUUUUUGGCAGGUUUAUCUUCCCAAACUUAUGUCCCCUUACUUGUGAGGCACAUUUGUUGUUUCUCCCCUCAGCUCCUCACCCACCCCAGCAGUAGCCCUGGCACUUCUGGAGUCCUGGGAUGGAACCUGACCAGGGUGAACGUCAGGAAGUCCAGGACCUGGCCACAGUGACGAAACAGGGUGUUGCUACGUUGCCCAGGUUGGUCUUUGAACUCCUAGGCUUUAAGUGAACCUCCUACCUUUGUCUCCAAAGAAGCGAGUAGGUGGGAUUACAAAUGCAUACCACUAUGCCCAGAUUUUUUAGAAAAAGAUGGACCUGAAAACCUUCACAUGUGCAGAGCAUGCCGAGUACCUUCUCUGAGGGAGUGCUGAGUGCCCUGGGUUAAGCAUGACAUGAUUAUUUUAGAAUGUCAGAAACCCUAAUUGGAUGUUCCAGGCAUGGUGGUGACAGAGGGGAAGAGAAAAUGUUUGAGAAGGGUACCAAUGUGCUUAGAAUGGUUGAAAUGCACUUUUGUACCCCACUAUGCUGAAGAAGGAAGCUGUGUGUGUGUUGUGUUUAAGAUCGGUUGUACAAACAUCGGGACAAAGGGUGAUGUCACCUGUGCAAGUCCAAGGAAGGGCAGCUGGGAUGGCAGGGCUUCCAUUUCAGUGGAAAACACUGAUGUGAAGGGAAAAUCUUGUAUCUUGUCUGUGUGGAAGGCAAUCAGGGGAAGUAGUAGUGCUGAUGUUCAGUCUGUUCAGCUUUCUCCUUGUUGUGAAGAUGGAAGUGAUGACUGCAAGUUCUUCCUGGCUCCUGGUGAAAAUCGGAAUUUAGGAAUCCAGAGAGGUUUUUGUUUGUUUGGCUUUUUUUCUUCUUUAACUGUCCUCUUGUUUUAUUAUUUUAUCUCCAUUCUGUGGAUAUUUUUUCUUUCUCCCUUACUCCCUUAUCAUCUCUUUUAGUCUUUUUACCUUUUAUAAUAAUUCCAGGAUUUCUUCUUUCACUCCCUUUGCUCUCUAGUACCUACUUUUUAUUUAGUUUACUUUUGCUUUCAUAAAUAAAUUUUUAGUAAGCUAUUGAGUUAUUUAGUUUAGGUAUUGUAUAUUUUCAUUUUGA
Long non-coding RNA from Nycticebus coucang (slow loris), 1659 nucleotides. RefSeq lists it as uncharacterized. Lineage: Eukaryota; Metazoa; Chordata; Mammalia; Primates; Lorisidae. The record is from RefSeq and is a predicted model, not a curated record. The transcript is spliced from 3 exons.